Camellia sinensis is the source of this 6785-nucleotide non-coding RNA. NCBI's taxonomy places the organism in Eukaryota, Viridiplantae, Streptophyta, Magnoliopsida, Ericales, Theaceae. The record is from RefSeq and is a predicted model, not a curated record.
UAUUUAUUUAUUUUUGGGUGUUUCGUGCUUCAUGCUAUUUAGAUCCCUAUUCUCCUCCUUUUUUUGUCUUAGUUCUUGUUGAUUGGUUAGUUCUUAGUUCUUGUUUAAGGGUAUGUACCGUAGAGGGGCCUUCUGACCCUUUUUAGUGGGUUUCAUUGUUUUCCUCCAAAUGAACAAGUCUAAAACCAUUUAUUAAAUUAAGAAAAUGCAAAUUUUCUUGUGAUAGCCCUUGACAAUAUUAAUGUAUGAGUAAUUUAGUUACUAACAUUAGAUUUGAAAAUGCUUUAUGGGGUUAAAAGUAAUGAUACCUGGAAAAUUGUGCCCUUGCACCAUGUUUAUCAUGUGUGCAUUACUACAUACUUGCGAUGGUCAAAAAAAUAUAAAUGUGGGUGUUGGACAUCUGUAUGGAUUGAUGUUUAUUGUUACUAUAAAUAAGGUAUUGCCAACAAUUGCCCAGGAGUCUUUGGUUAAGAAUGCAUCAAAUGGUUGUACAUUUCUUACCUACACACUUCUACAUGGAAUGCACAAUCAUUUUAAAGCUGGUUAAUAAUUGUGUGGGCAUUUUCCAUAUAAAUAAAUAUUCUCUCACACUAUCCUUGAGAAUUUGUCCACUUUGAAGAUGAACAAUCUUACUUGGGAGUAAUUAUUUAGUGUCCUAGACCAUUAUGUCACUUUUGAUUCCAAAUAAUUUAUGAUUUGCCGCAUAGAAAAAGGUGAGGCUUGAGGUCCUACUUUUUUACCUUCUCAAGGAGUUGGGUCCCGACAAAGUGGGGCUUGAGGUUCCAUGUUGUUAGGAUCCGCCUUCUCAGGAAGGUGGAAAGGUGGGAUCUCGAGUCUCACUUUUUUGUAUGCGUCUGAUAAUGAGUGGUUGGGACCAAAGCUGACAUGGUAGCUUUGGAUCAUUGAAUACUUUUUCCUUCAUUGUGUACUAUUAUUCUUUUGUGAUAUAUUGUUUAUUAUUUAAAAGGUUAGGACCGUUUAAUUAACAUUAUAACAAAGGGUUUUGGAGAAAUUAAUGAAAAAUACUCCUUUAUUUUAAUGUGGACAAAAACUUUGGGACAUCCAAAUAAGGAAAUUUGGAUAAUUUUCUCAGUAAACAUUAGUGAGAAUCCAUAUUUUCAUUUUUAGAUGUUUUAAAAAAAUGUCUAUAUUGAGAAGUGAGUAGUUAUUGCUCAUUUUUUGCCAUACUCUUUUUACAAAUCCUAUAAACUUGUAUGGUCAUAAACAAGCACUUGACGCGUGUUUAAGCAAGUCUAUUGAAGUCAGUGUUCCUCAUUCUCUUUUCUCCUCUUUGACUCAUCUUCUUUCCUAUGCUUUCUCUUGUUGUUGCAUCACCUCACCGAUCACAACAACAAAAGAGGCAUGGGACAGAUGAUGAAACAGAGAGGGUAAUAAAGGAUCUUGGUUGUCAAUGUCAUGGAGAAUGCUUGUGUGAGUGACUUGAAAAUUCUUGACAUAAUUCAAUCCAUAAGUUAAUGUUGUGGACAAUAUCCUUGGGGGAAGGAAUACAAUUUUUAAGUGUUAAGUAAUGGUCAUAUUUACUUUUUAGUUGAGUAGACUGUACAACCAUUUUUUACCUACCCAUUUCUGCAAGGAAUGCACAACCAUUUUAAAGCUAGUUAGCACUAGUUAGCGUUUGCCAUAUAAAUAAAUAUACUCACACUAUCCUUACAAAUUUGUUCAUUUUGAAGAUGUACAAUUUUACAUCUGAGUAAUUAUUUGGUGGUCUUGGACCAUCACAUCAACUUUGAUCUCAAAUCUUUUGUGGUCAGUCACAUAGGAAAAAGUGGGAUUAAAGGUCUUACCUUGUUAGGAGCCACCUCCCUGGAAAGGUGGAAAUGUUGGACUUUUGGUCUUACCUUUUUUUAUGUGGCCGAUCAUGAGUAAUUGAGACCAAAGCUAACGCGGUGGUCUUGAACCACUGGAUAUUUUUCCAUUCGGAAGUGGCAUUGAAGUGGAGGUGAACGAAUUGAGUCUUGGAUUUGUACCUUAGUAAUAAGGCAUUCUAUUGUUUAAGUCAUGAAUGCAAUGUUAUGGAACGUACAUAUUAUAGUUUUGUGAAGAAGAUUGGAAAAGUUAAAAGACAUUCACUUGCUUGAUAUCUGUUGGAGUCAAGAGAGUCGACACCAGUACAAAUACUUUUUAAAUGGCUCUUGAGCUUUGAUCGGAGGAUGCAUUGCAUGGUCAUUAUUUUGGAGUUGCAAAACCUAUAAUUCCUUUAAUUAUGGGUGAAAAUAACAGUUUGUCCUUUGUUUACUCAUUGAUACUCGUGCCAGUAUUCAUGGCGACUAUCCUUGAGAAUUUGUUCACUUUGAAAAUAUGUACAAUUUAAUUGGGAGUAAUUAUUCGGUUUUUUUGGAUCAUCACGGCACAUUUGGUCUCAAACUGUUCAUGGUCAUUUACAUAGUAAAAAAUGGGAUCCAAGUUCCAUCAUUUCACCUUUUCGAGGAGUUGAGUCCUGAUAAAGUGGGGCUCAUGGUUUUGUUUUGUCGGGACUCACCUCCUCAAGAAAGUGGAAAGGUGGGACAUUAGACCCCACUUUUUCUUUGUAGCCCGAUCUAGUUGGAACCAAAAUUGACGUGGUGGUCCUAAACCAUUGAAUAUUUCUCCCUUAGUAGCAUUAAAGGCAUUCAUUUAUACUUUAUAGUAUACUAUUCUGGCAUGUAUGUUUGACUAAAUAAAAAUGAAGAAACUCGCAAUUAAAUUCAAUGAAAAAUAUUCAUUUACUAUUUUAAUGUGGACAAUGAUUUUGGGACAUUGAAAUAAGGAAAUUUGGUCUACUUUUUCACUACAUGAUUCAAAAUUUAUAUUUUCAUUUUUAGAUGUUCUAAAAAUAUAUAUGUUAAAAAGUGAGUAGUUAUUGCUCAUUUUUUUACCAUACCCUUUUUUCAUGCAAUUAGUUGCGACUUGACCCCCCCAAAAAGAAAAAGGAUCAAUCGUUUGAUGGGGAAAAUGACAUCUUACAACGCAGUAAAUGCAUGGGAAUGCAUUUUAACGAACAUUCUUAAAUUAUUGUGCAUUUUCAAAGUGAACAAUGUUUUGUUGUUGGAGGGACCAAUGAUUUAGUUGUAACAUUUGGUUUUUGAAAAAAAUACUUGUGUUUGGACUUUUAGACAUCGUGUAAAUUUGUACAACCGUAGAUAUACAUUUACAACAUGCUUGUCUAGAAGUGCAUCUAUUAAGGUUGGUGUUCGUAGGGAUUUGGAUCACAUCUAUGUUCGUUAUGUGAUAGCACUUCGAUUAACAAAAUAAAAUAGACAUAUCACUUGAGCAAUAAAUCUUGGGUAUUGUGAAAGGAGUUUGAGUUUGCAAAUGACCACUUUAAUCAUAGUAUACAACCAUUUAUUAAAUUAAGAAAAUGCAAAAUUUCUUGUUAGGACCCUUGACAAUAUUUUUGUAUUGGUUUCUAAGAUAAGAUUUGAUAAUUUUGUAUGGUGUUAAAAGUUGUGAUGGGGAAAAUGGUGUCCUUGCACCAUGUUUAUCACAUGUGCAUCACUACAUUCUUGAUAUGGUCGAAGUUUAAACGUGAGUGUUGGACAUUUAUACUUAUUGACAUUUCUUGUUAUAUAAAUAAGGUAUUACUAACAAGUGCCCAUGGGCUUUGGCUUACAACGCAUUUAAUGGUUGUACGCUUCUUAACUACCCACUUCUACAAGGAAUGUACAACCAAUUUUAAAGCUAGUUAACCAUUGUUUGGGCUUUUUCCAUAUAAAUAAAAAUAUAUUUGCACUAUCCUUGAGAAUUUGUCCACUUUGAAGAUUUAAAAUCUUAUUUGGGAGUAAUUAUUUCGUGAUCUAAGACCAUCAUGUCAACUUUGAUUCCAAAUCAUACCACGUGGGAAAAAGUGGGGUUUGAGGUCUCACUUUUUCACUUUUUCGAAGAGGUGAGUCUCGAGAUCCCACUUUAUUAGGACUCAUCUCCUCGAGAAGGUGGAAAGAUGGGAUCUUAGGCCUCAUUUUUUUCAUGUGACCGAUCCUGAGUGUUCGGGACCAAAAUUGACGUGGUGGUUCUAGACCACUAAAUUUUUACCCUUUAUAAGAUGGCAUUGAAGGCUUUCAUUUGCAGUGUACUAUUCUUUUGCCAUAUAUUGUUGACUAUUUAGGAGGAGAAAUUUGUAAUUAAUAUUAUAAAAACGGUAUGGUGAGAAAUUCAAAUGAAAAAUACUCAUUUGCUAUUUCAAUGUGAUCAAUAAUUUUGGGACAUCCACAUAAGGAAAUUUGGACUACUUUCUGACAGAACAUGAGUUAGAAUCCAUAUUUUCAUUUUUAGAUGUUCUAAUAAAUUGUCUAUGUUGAAAGCGAGUGGUUAUUGCUCAGUUUUUUACUAUACUCUUUUGUUAUGCAAUAAGUUGCAACAUGACCACAAGUAGAAGAAGAAGAAGAAAAGGAAGAAAAAGAUCAGGGGGGGAAAAAAAAGGAAACAUCACAAUGUAGUAAAUAGAUGGUAAUGCAUUUAAUGCAUGUUUGUAAAUUAUUGUGCUUUUUCAAAAUUGAAUAAAAUGUUACUUUUGGAGGGAGCAAUGUUUUAGUUGUAACUUUUGAUUUUUGAACACAAGUACUUGUAUCUAGACUUCUAGACAUCUUGUAAUCUUGCACAACCACAGAUAUGCAUUUAAAGCAUGCAUAUGCAAGUGCAUCUAUUGAAAUCGGUGUUUGUAGUGCGUUUGAUCCUCUUUCUCUCUCCUUAUACCUCAUCCUCUUUCCCAUGUUUUCUCUUCUUGUUGCAUCGUCAUUUACAAGAAGAGGGUGCAUGGGACAAAGAGGGUGAUAAGUAUCCCAGUUGUUAUGGAGAGUGCUCUUGUGUUGAGUUGAAAAUACUCUAUAUAAUUCAAUCUGUAAAUUAGCGCUGUAGACCAUAUCCUUGGGGGAAUACAGCAUUAAGUGUUAAAUAGUGGUCACAUUUACUAAGUUACUUGAGUUAUAGUUUCUUCUGAAUAUUCAAUAUGCUAUUACUGGACUACCAGUAGGACUUUGUAUGUUUUAAGUCUUUUUGUGUUUGUAUAUAGUUAGCCCUCUAGUGUGGCCUACCUUUGAGAUGGAUUCAAACUCACAUUUUUACUCCAGUUACACUAUCUCACUUCUGAUAUGAUAAUCUUCAAAAAAUUAAUAUUUGCAUGUCUCUGCAUUUUACUAGCUUAUAAUGAGAAGAUUGAUUUCAACAUGCUAAUAACUGACUUAAAGGUGUGUUUUGUAUAAUAAAUUUUUAACUUUGUUGCUGGAACAUUUGUGUUGAAGAUGAAAAAGGCAGAAUUGGUCGAGACAUCUGCUUGUGUAACCAACUUGCCAAGGUCUAAUUGUGUCUCUCUGAUUCUUAUUUGAAUAUUCAAUGAAUCAUAUUCAGGUGUUGCUGCUAUUGCAUUGCAAAUGUGAAAUAGAAAUCCGUAUAGAGAGGUAUGUCAUGAGGAAGAUAAACUUUAGGGGAUGAUCUUGUUCAAAGCAUUAUUGUUUAUUAUUUGAUGUUCUCAUGGAGGGAAAUUAACAUCUUUCAAUUUGGAUAUAUUUUUUUGACUUGCAGAUAUUUUGGGAUGGUUGGUUGGCAUGUUGUACUUAUGCGAUGCUUCUGUUAGCUAAAAAGUUCUUAGUUGAGGUGUUUUCAGAAACUUACAUACUGCUUAGGACGGAGUUAUUCCUUGUAUUGUUAAUUUGUAGAUUUGGCAUGAUUUCAUUAUUUUGCAAGCUGAAGAUAGUUGAGGCAACCAUGAUCUCAUGGACUAUGCAUACCUGUGAUGUCCUCAAAAGUUCCUGAUAUUUUGGUUUUUGAUUUUGUUAUACUAUCUUAUGUUUGAAUGCUUGAUUCUUUAUGAAGUUACUACCGUCAGGAUCCUCUUUUCCAAAAGUUCUCUCAUUUUGUUCCAAAUUAUUCACAGUUACUGGAUCAUGCUAUAAACUCAUGGUAUGAGAACCUUGAGGCAUGAUCUAAUGUCUAUGAGUAAAUUGGGAUAGAGGGCUUUUGGGACUGGGGAUUCUCUGCUCAACUGACAUACACACUUAGUUGGAUGACAGGAAUUCUUGUAUAAAUUGGCUGUUGGAUGUGAGACAGCGUGUAGAAGAGUAAAAAGAUUAGGUGGCACAGGAGUAGAGGGGAGAGAGAAUAUGUAAUACAUGUUGAGUGGUUUGGACUGGGAGAAAUUUUGUAAGGAGGAUUGGCAUGAGCUUCUGCACACUUCUGGGCUCUUGAAGCAGGUGAUCCUGGACAGGCAGGCUAUGAUGGAGUCUUCAGAGAUAAAGUUGGCAGCUGGAUAUGUGGCUACUAUGCAAACUUCGGUAACGGCACUAGGCUUAUGGGUUGUUUACAGGGGUCUAACUAUCAUUUUGCAAAAAGGCUUAAACAAAGUGGAUUGAAUUUGAUUUUGAGAUGGUGAUCACCCUGGUCUGUGAACGAGCCAACUAGAAUUUCCCUUGCAGAGAUUUGGUGGAGGAUUCAAGAUUUCUUCUCGGAAGACACAAUUGCUCCAUUGCCCAUUUAAAAGGCAACACGUGUUGAUGCUAUGAUGAAUUUAGAGGUGGAUCAACCCAAACAUCUGGUUGUCCUGAAGAGACCUCCCGAGUCUAUUAGUGCUCGCACCUGCCAAACAUGCUAGGAGUUUCUUUUGUGAGGAAUUAUUCCCUCUUGUUCUUGUUUCUUUCUGAUUUCUUUUUCUAUUUUUGUAUCUAGAAAGAAAAUAGCAAAUGGUUUUGAGGAUUCAAUUGUCAAGGAGCAUUGUUCAAAAGUUGUAAAAGAAAAAGAAAGUUUUAUUUGAACAGGAUUAAUGGAAUGAGGAUAAGGAUUUUGCCUCUAUAUAAAUU